GAAGCAGCCCUUUAAUCACCGCUCAGAGGGAGAAGGAGGACGUCAUGGCUGCGCUCUUUGUUUUUUUCUUAUUUUGUGCCUUAUUUUCCUUCCCUUCGUGGUUUUUCGACAUGGGGAAGAUGAAGGAGGCACUGUUCACCUGUCCAAGCGCCUCACCUGUGUCCCUUGCUUUGUGUGUCGCAGGAUGACGCGCGGGAUGUUAGGCGUCGCGGUGAAGACAGUGCAUGGAGACAGCCAGCUAUACGAGCAAAUUCCUGCGUUCCUGAAGAGAUCCUGUGCCAUGCUGCUGUUUUUUGUUUUUGUUUCGGGUGUUGUGUGUGCAGGACAGUGUUCCACUUCACUUCACUUCACUUCACAGCAGCAGCAGCAAGGUUGACAAGAUAUAUAAAGUCAGUUAAAAAUACGAGGAUCAUAUCAGCCAGCCAGCAAGCAAGCAACCACCAAGAGGAUUACAAUAGCCAAGUCUAGGACAACUGGCCACCAUAUAGACUGGGAGGAAACUGCAAAUCCACAUAUGUACACCAGGCAGCUCAUUCUAUGUACCUAAGCCAGCACAUAAUUGAUUCUCAAACCAAUGAGAAAUUCUAUUUAAAAUUCAGCAUUUAAAAAAAAAGUAAAACUGUACAAAGAAACAAAAGAGAAGCUUAGAUUGUAGAACAUGAAAGAAUGCUUAAAGAUUAUAUUAAAUUACUGAAGGAGGAAUCAAUUGUGAGCCACAGGUGUGAUGGAAGGUGUAGUGUGUAGAAGUGCAGCAUUUGGACGGUGUCAGUUGAAGUGGAGGUAUUGGCAAGGUGGCACUGCCUCGCUUAGGAUGGGGAGAGAUUUUCCUACAAAAAACACAUCUGGAUUUUUACCUCUGAUCAUGUGGAAAGAAAGUUAGACACCAAUUUAUUUAGGGAGAAAAACUUCAACCCUGCUCCAUGUUCUUACCAUUUAAAAAAUCAUUAACUUUAUUAACAACACAUGACCAUUGAGCUAAAAAUCCAGGUGUGUUUUCUGUAUGAAAGUUUCUCCCCAUCUUAAAUGUGGCAUAUGAGCAGGGCAGUGCCACCUUACCAAUACCUCACCGUCCAGGUGCUUCAUACCUAUGGCUCACCAUCAGUUCCUUCUUUGAAGUUAAUCUAAGUUUCUCUCUCUUAUUUCUGCUUAAUUUAUUUUUAGAAUAAAUUUCAUAGGUUUGUGAACCAAUUCAUUUGCUGGUGGGGGUGGAAGGAUGUCUUGAUUGAGUACAUACUGUGUUUGCAGUUUCCUCCCAGUCUGCCUAGCCAGCCACUCAUGCCACCCUCGUGUUAGUCCCUGGUAAGAGAGGAAGUGUGAAAGCAGGCAUUGUUUGCCUGCAGGGUGGAUGUGGAGGAGUGGGAGCUUCUUUGAAGGUUCACUUACCACAAUGUGGAUAUGAAAUAAAGCUAAAAUAAUGUUGUUGUAACAUUAUUGUGGAUAUGAAAUAGUAGAAGCUAAUAAUGUAUUAGUAACAUCCAUUAAUGUAGUCAAGGUAAAUUAAUUAAUUAUGUAGCCAUUACUCUACAUUAUGUUCAUAGUCCCCAAAUAUAUGUAAUGUUCAUAGUCCCCAAAUAUAUGUAACAUGAUCAUGACACAGCCUUGGGGAGUGUGGCCAUGACACAGCAACCAGUGGGCAGUGUCUCAUGCCUGUAGGGGCAGGGGGUGGGUGGGUGGGUAGAGCAAGGCAGUUCUGGCCCAAAAUAAAAAAUUAUUAAAGUUUAAAGAGCAAGUUGCACAUAUUUUGGGCCACUUUGUCUAAUUUUGGGGCAAGAACUGCCUUGUUUUACUAUCCCCACCCCCCUUUGCCACUACAGGCAUGUGACACUGCCCACUAGUUAGUGUCAUCAUAGCUGGACAUUCCCCAAGGCUGUCAAUUUCAUGACCAUGUUACAUGUAUACUACACCAUAAAAAUCACAUUUAUAAUCUAGAAAAUCUGUUUGAAAUACAACAGAAUAGCACUGAACAGAAUAUGAAAUACAACAGAAUAACAC
Long non-coding RNA from Portunus trituberculatus (swimming crab), 1992 nucleotides. RefSeq lists it as uncharacterized. Lineage: Eukaryota; Metazoa; Arthropoda; Malacostraca; Decapoda; Portunidae. The record is from RefSeq and is a predicted model, not a curated record. The transcript has 3 exons.